This is a long non-coding RNA of Esox lucius (northern pike), 1593 nucleotides long. NCBI's taxonomy places the organism in Eukaryota, Metazoa, Chordata, Actinopteri, Esociformes, Esocidae. The record is from Ensembl.
CAACUGUAACUUAACUAAAAUAUCGUCACAGGUCAAUAACAGGAAGGAGGCAAUUUCCGUCUUAGUGUUUGAGUUUUAGACAAUUUAGUUUCUGUGUGUGUUUCUGCUUAACAGUAUGGUCUGUUUCAAGGAUGAAGAUGUUGGGAGAGGUGUUUGAGUCUCUUUCUGAGGAGCAACGUGUUCAGAUCAGAGACUGGGUCAAGGAGCAAGUGACCCAGAACAAUUACAACUGCAGUCAUAGUGCUGCAGCCUGGCAACCCACACCCAAACCUACACAACCGAAACCAGAACUAAACCAGACCAAGCCAAACCUGGCCAAACCCACACCUCAACAGAAACCAAUACAGACACCUCAACUAGAAGGACUGAUCUCACUUUCUUCAGUACUACAGUCUAACAUGACAGUGAUGACCUGCCCUCCCAGUCUGCUGUGGCUGAAUUUGGAUGUGAUGAAGAUGAUGGGGCCCUUCUUCGCCGGGCUGCCCGUAGAUUACAUUAACACAAUCCCCAAAGACCAGCUGUGUCAAUUCUUCCAUUCGAACCAGUUCCCUUCCUCAUUCAGAGGGGUGCUCCCUCCACUACAGGCCAAUAAGAUACUCCAGAAGAUCAUAGAGUGUUCUCAGAAGAAAGAAGACUUUGUCCAGAACCUGGACAGCUUAAGAAGGAGCUUGCCAAAACUGUGAUGUCAUCAUCAGAAGAGAAUUCCAGUCCUGAGCUGUUGCGCCUUCUGGGUUCUGGUGUCACGGUGCUGUCGCCCUUCCACCUCUCCCAGUUCUCCCCUAAUGCCCUCAAGGACAUCCUGAUUUCACUGGGGUCAGAGGUGAAGUGGAGUCUGACCCAAGCCAAAACACUGGUUGUGAAAGUACUGCAGGGGAAGCAGGUGAGAGCGCUGUAUGUGCUCUACAUAUUGAUCAAUAUCUUUCUCUCAGUGUUAUUAAACAGGUUUCUCAACUGGUACGUCUACAAGAAACAUUCCAUUGCAUUUGGUGGCGAUGCCGCUGAACAAAUCCCUCAACUCACCUCACACUUUCCUCCUCCUCUCCCUCCCUCCUAAGGAGCUCUCUGGUGAUGAAUUAAUGUCUCUGGGUUCUGCUGUGAGGGGCGUGGCCUCCUCUCUUCUGAAGAAUGUAAAACCCAAAGGGCUUCUGGAUGAUGAGCGACUGAACUGGAUGAGUCAACGGAUGUCUAUCAUGCAGCGGAAAGCACUGCUAGAUGGGGUGAGAGUAGGGUGGGAGGCAAGCACGGCUAGAUGGGGUGAGAGUAGGGUGGGAGGCAGGCACGGCUAGAUGGGGUGAGAGUAGGGUGGGAGGCAAGCACGGCUAGAUGGGGUGAGAGUAGGGUGGGAGGCAAGCACUGCUAGAUGGGGUGAGAGUAGGGUGGGAGGCAAGCACUGCUAGAUGGGGUGAGAGUAGGGUGGGAGGCAAGCACUGCUAGAUGGGGUGAGAGUAGGGUGGGAGGCAAGCACGGCUAGAUGGGGUGAGAGUAGGGUGGGAGGCAAGCACGGCUAGAUGGGGUGAGAGUAGGGUGGGAGGCAAGCACGGCUAGAUGGGGUGAGAGUAGGGUGGGAGGCAAGCGCGGCUAGAUGGGUUGAGA